This 500-nucleotide ribosomal RNA is filed under the name uncultured bacterium. RNAcentral describes it as "partial 16S ribosomal RNA". It matches the Rfam family "Bacterial small subunit ribosomal RNA", at positions 30 to 523 of the family's 1533-position model. The record is from RNAcentral.
AUUGAACGCUGGCGGCAUGCCUUACACAUGCAAGUCGAACGGAUUGAAGGGGCUUGCUCCUUCAGUUAGUGGCGAACGGGUGAGUAAAGCAUCGGAACGUACCCAGUCGUGGGGGAUAACGUAGCGAAAGUUACGCUAAUACCGCAUACGAUCUGAGGAUGAAAGCGGGGGAUCGCAAGACCUCGCGCGAUUGGAGCGGCCGAUGUCGGAUUAGCUAGUUGGUGAGGUAAAGGCUCACCAAGGCGACGAUCCGUAGCUGGUCUGAGGGGAUGAUCAGCCACACUGGAAGUGAGACACGGUCCAGACUCCUACGGGAGGCAGCAGUGGUGAAUUUUGGACAAUGGGGGAAACCCUGAUCCAGCCAUGCCGCGUGAGUGAAGAAGGCCUUCGGGUUGUAAAGCUCUUUCAGUCGGAAAGAAAAGGCUCCGGAUAAUACCUGGAGUUGAUGACGGUACCGACAGAAGGAGCACCGGCUAACUACGUGCCAGCCGCCGCCGUAA